UAGGGAAUCUUCGGCAAUGGGGGCAACCCUGACCGAGCAACGCCGCGUGAGUGAAGAAGGUUUUCGGAUCGUAAAGCUCUGUUGUAAGAGAAGAACGAGUGUGAGAGUGGAAAGUCCACACUGUGACGGUAACUUACCAGAAAGGGACGGCUAACUACGUGCCAGCAGCCGCGGUAAUACGUAGGUCCCGAGCGUUAUCCGGAUUUAUUGGGCGUAAAGCGAGCGCAGGCGGUUAGAUAAGUCUGAAGUUAAAGGCUGUGGCUUAACCAUAGUACGCUUUGGAAACUGUUUAACUUGAGUGCAGAAGGGGAGAGUGGAAUUCCAUGUGUAGCGGUGAAAUGCGUAGAUAUAUGGAGGAACACCGGUGGCGAAAGCGGCUCUCUGGUCUGUAACUGACGCUGAGGCUCGAAAGCGUGGGGAGCAAACAGGAUUAGAUACCCUGGUAGUCCACGCCGUAAACGAUGAGUGCUAGGUGUUGGGUCCUUUCCGGGACUCAGUGCCGCAGCUAACGCAUUAAGCACUCCGCCUGGGGAGUACGACCGCAAGGUUG
RNAcentral lists this ribosomal RNA (550 nucleotides) under uncultured bacterium. RNAcentral describes it as "bacterial SSU rRNA". It matches the Rfam family "Bacterial small subunit ribosomal RNA", at positions 355 to 896 of the family's 1533-position model. The record is from RNAcentral.